This 344-nucleotide unclassified non-coding RNA is filed under the name Hevea brasiliensis (rubber tree). The record is from RNAcentral. Lineage: Eukaryota; Viridiplantae; Streptophyta; Magnoliopsida; Malpighiales; Euphorbiaceae.
CGGUAUUGUGGGUUUACCCUUCCCAUUUUCUGGUGGGGUAAAUAGUUGUUUUUUUUUUUUUGUUUUUUGUUUUUUCCUCGUAGAUCUGUGCCAAAUGAAGAGGGACUCUUUGGAUAUGCUAUUUUAGCUUUGGCUGUGUUGUAGGUGGUGGAUUUGGGUUGUGCCUUUGAUGAGAAGGGGGAGCUGGUUUUUCGGCUUUACAAACUUCACUGGGGGAAGAUUUUGUGGGGAUUACAUUACCGACACCUUAAUAGCGUCCAGUUCUCCUCCUUGACUCUAAAUCUUGUCAAAAGCCAGACGCCUCCUUGUAAAGCUGCAGAAACCAAGAACUACAUGGACUCCGU